RNAcentral lists this ribosomal RNA (1343 nucleotides) under metagenome. Its description in RNAcentral is "bacterial LSU rRNA". It matches the Rfam family "Bacterial large subunit ribosomal RNA", at positions 1273 to 2617 of the family's 2925-position model. The record is from RNAcentral.
CCCUAGGUAUCAGAAGUGCGAAUGCUGACAUGAGUAGCGAUAAUGGGGGUGAAAAGCCUCCACGCCGUAAGCCCAAGGUUUCCUGUUCAACGUUCAUCGGAGCAGGGUGAGUCGGCCCCUAAGGCGAGGCAGAGAUGCGUAGCUGAUGGGAAGCAGGUUAAUAUUCCUGCACCGUCGUUAGAUGCGAUGGGGGGACGGAUCGCGGAAGGUUGUCCGGGUGUUGGAAGUCCCGGUAUCUGUAUCAGAGAAGGCUGUUAGGCAAAUCCGGCAGCGUAAUUCAAGGGUAUGGGUCGAGCGAACUUGUUCGCGAAGCAAUCGGAAGUGGUUCCAAGAAAAGCCUCUAAGCUUCAGUCUAACGAGACCGUACCGCAAACCGACACAGGUGGGCGAGAUGAGUAUUCUAAGGCGCUUGAGAGAACUCGGGAGAAGGAACUCGGCAAAUUUGUACCGUAACUUCGGGAUAAGGUACGCCCCGGUAGUUUGACUGGCCUGCGCCAGGAGGACGAAAGGGCUGCAAUAAAAAGGUGGCUGCGACUGUUUAAUAAAAACACAGCACUAUGCAAACACGAAAGUGGACGUAUAUGGUGUGACUCCUGCCCGGUGCUGGAAGAUUAAAUGAUGGGGUGCAAGCUCUUGAUUGAAGUCCCAGUAAACGGCGGCCGUAACAAUAACGGUCCUAAGGUAGCGAAAUUCCUUGUCGGGUAAGUUCCGACCUGCACGAAUGGAGUAACGAUGGCCACACUGUCUCCUCCCGAGACUCAGCGAAGUUGAAAUGUUUGUGAUGAUGCAAUCUACCCGCGGCUAGACGGAAAGACCCCAUGAACCUUUACUGUAGCUUUGCAUUGAAUUUUGAACCAAUCUGUGUAGGAUAGGUGGGAGGCUUUGAAGCGUGAACGCUAGUUUGCGUGGAGCCAACCUUGAAAUACCACCCUGGUUUGUUUGAGAUUCUAACCUUGGACCGUUAUCCGGUUCGGGGACAGUGCAUGGUGGGCAGUUUGACUGGGGCGGUCUCCUCCUAAAGUGUAACGGAGGAGUUCGAAGGUACGCUAGGUACGGUCGGACAUCGUGCUAAUAGUGCAAUGGCAUAAGCGUGCUUAACUGCGAGACUGACAAGUCGAGCAGGUACGAAAGUAGGACAUAGUGAUCCGGUGGUUCUGUAUGGAAGGGCCAUCGCUCAACGGAUAAAAGGUACUCUGGGGAUAACAGGCUGAUUCCUCCCAAGAGUUCAUAUCGACGGGGGAGUUUGGCACCUCGAUGUCGGCUCAUCACAUCCUGGGGCUGUAGCCGGUCCCAAGGGUAUGGCUGUUCGCCAUUUAAAGUGGUACGUGAGCUGGGUUUAAACC